Long non-coding RNA from Canis lupus familiaris (dog), 905 nucleotides. RefSeq lists it as uncharacterized. The record is from RefSeq and is a predicted model, not a curated record. The transcript is spliced from 4 exons. Lineage: Eukaryota; Metazoa; Chordata; Mammalia; Carnivora; Canidae.
GCAAAUGUUUUAGUAAAAUAUUAAGUUGAGCAGACCAAUUUCCGUUACUAAGAAACUGGUCGUCACACUUUCAAAAUACUCUGCUGUUGAAGCACCGGCUUCCUCCAACCUGGACUCGGCGGGGCCUUGAGCUGCAUCGGUGUGCAGCAGGUGAGACCCAAGCCUACUGAAACUGUUAGAAUCCCCAUGCUGUUUUCCCAAGGAGUAUUCCAAUACCAGAAGAAUGGAAACUUCCCAUGUUCCAAAGGAAGACUUCCCAGGUACCGGGUCGAAGGACUUGGCUGGCAAAGGAAAGGAGAGUAUGCUCACAGCUCCACAAGGGGCCUGGAGGCCAGACUGCCUACAUGGAACCAGCUGCGGGCAAAUUGGUGUGCGCCUAAUUACUUCUGAAGCAAAAAUCUUUAUUUAGAGACAGUUAUAGAACCUCAGAACGUGCCUUUACUUGGAUAUAGGGUCUUUGCAGAUGCAAUUAAUUAGGAAGAUGGGCCCUAAAUCCAAUGCCUGAUGUCUUUAUAAGAAAAGGAGAAGACACACAGAGAAGACUACAUGAAGAUGGAGGCAAAGAUUGGACUGAUGCAUCGACAAGCCAAGAACUGCCAAAGAUUUGGUGGAGCAGCUAGAGGUGGAAGAUGCAAAGAAAGAUCCUGCCCUAGAGCCUUCAGAGACUGUACAGCCUACCAGUGACUUGAUUUUGGGCUUCUACCCCCCCAGAACUAUGAGAGAAUAAGUUUCUGCUGUUUUCCACCACCGAGUUUGUGGUAAUUUGUUAUGGCAGCCCCGCCACCAAAUGCAUUUUCAUGUUUGCCUCCAUACUAUGGAGUGGAAUCCUAUGUUAGAAACACAGCGUGGGGAUCCCUGGGUGGCGCAGCGGUUUGGCGCCUGCCUUUGGCCCAGGGCGCGAUCCU